RNAcentral lists this ribosomal RNA (253 nucleotides) under uncultured bacterium. Its description in RNAcentral is "partial 16S ribosomal RNA". It matches the Rfam family "Bacterial small subunit ribosomal RNA", at positions 524 to 776 of the family's 1533-position model. The record is from RNAcentral.
UACGGAGGGUGCAAGCGUUGUUCGGAAUUAUUGGGCGUAAAGGGGAGGUAGGUGGUCCCGCCUGUCUGGGGUGAAAUCCCUGAGCUUAACUCAGGAAGUGCCUCAGAAACAGCGGGACUGGAGUCUUGGAGAGGGUUGCGGAAUUCCCGGUGUAGCGGUGAAAUGCGUAGAGAUCGGGAGGAACACCAGAGGCGAAAGCGGCAACCUGGACAAGUACUGACACUCAACUCCGAAAGCGUGGGGAGCAAACAGG